RNAcentral lists this ribosomal RNA (559 nucleotides) under uncultured bacterium. RNAcentral describes it as "bacterial SSU rRNA". It matches the Rfam family "Bacterial small subunit ribosomal RNA", at positions 338 to 916 of the family's 1533-position model. The record is from RNAcentral.
CCUACGGGAGGCAGCAGUGAGGAAUUUUCCGCAAUGGGCGAAAGCCUGACGGAGCAAUACCGCGUGAGGGAUGAAGGAUUUUGGUCUGUAAACCUCUUUUCUCAAGAAAGAAGUUCUGACGGUACUUGAGGAAUAAGCAUCGGCUAACUCCGUGCCAGCAGCCGCGGUAAUACGGUGGAUGCAAGCGUUAUCCGGAAUGAUUGGGCGUAAAGCGCCUGUAGGUUGUUUAUUAAGUCCGUUGUUAAAGCCUAGGGCUCAACCCUAGAAAAGCAAUGGAAACUAGUAGACUAGAGUAUGGCAGGGGUAGAGGGAAUUUCUAGUGUAGCGGUGAAAUGCGUAGAUAUUAGAAAGAACACCGGUGGCGAAAGCGCUCUACUGGACCAUUACUGACACUCAGAGGCGAAAGCUAGGGUAGCAAAAGGGAUUAGAUACCCCUGUAGUCCUAGCCGUAAACGAUGGAUACUAGAUGUUGUGCAUUAUGUACAGUAUCGUAGCUAACGCGUUAAGUAUCCCGCCUGGGGAGUACGCUCGCAAGGGUGAAACUCAAAUGAAUUGACGG